This 3211-nucleotide long non-coding RNA is filed under the name Helianthus annuus (common sunflower). RNAcentral describes it as "hypothetical non coding rna". Lineage: Eukaryota; Viridiplantae; Streptophyta; Magnoliopsida; Asterales; Asteraceae. The record is from RNAcentral.
UUGAGUAUUGCUCAGCAGCCACCACAAUAAAUAAUAAUACGACCCCUCUUCAAUAACCAUCAAUCCACUUCAUUCGCUGUUCUAGAAUUCUCGCAACAAAUUCAACUUCAACCCUAUCUCCUGCCAUCCUUUUCACACUCUCAAAGCCAUUAACACAAUGAUUCCGUAUCUCCGUCCACAACAGUUUUGAACUUCAUAUAUGAUGGAUACUGCAUCACAAUCUGAAGCGAUGUACCUGAGCAAAGAUGCCCGGAAAAUAGUUUGGGACUCCAUUGACACGGUUGUAAGCGCACAUGAUUCCGCUAGCUUGGGCAUUUUGUAUGCAACUUUGGAAAGGCGGUUGAUACGUGUCGGCAAGAUCUUGCUUCGUCACCUGUUUUUGUAUUUUCGCGCAUGAUUAGUGUUGCAUGUAUUCCAUACUCUGAGUAAAGACAUAAUAAAAUGGGUCGCUCUAAUGAGGCCUGAUCUGACUCAUCGGUCUUAACCGUAAUAUGAAACCCAAGGUGGUGAAAAAGCACACAAGCGAAAGUAUAAGGAGCUAAAAAGAAAAUAAACUAACCUUGGCAUCAAAACUGAAUCUACCAACACCAUUCCAGUGAUCCAAAUCAUAAGCAGUGAAAUGUUUGCAACAAGCAGAAGCUUGAAGAUGUCCAUCUUUAAGCCCUCCACCUUCAAAAGUGUCACCUUGGACCCCUCUAACAUAAGAAAUUGCAUAUAUGCCACCGACCAAUGGGUCUUCGCCAGGUGUCUCUUGACCUCUACCCCAUCUAGGGUCCCUAAACACAUUGAUGUUUGGGGCCCAAAAUGUCAUUCCAUUGGCUUGUCCUUGAUUAUAAACUGCCCUUGCUUCCAAUCCAAUUGCCUAAAUUAGAAUACAAGUACUUUUUAUAAAACAAUUAUAUCAUAUUAAUUAAUUUUAGUUAGUUGAGUAUUUAACAAGAAGAAAGCAUAUGAUUAAAGCAAAUGGUUGUAACCACAGCUCUUAUAAUUACCAAUGAUUUAGUAUUAAAUUGGUACCGAGUUAACAAGGUUCACCUGGCCAAUUCGGUACCAUAGCCUGGCAUCGAAAGAAGCUGCGGUGAGGAUAACUUGUGGGAAACUUGUGGUGGACUUGAUGGUACCAUUGAGGAGAAUGCCAAAUCCCGAGUUAGAAACACCAUGUAAAGCCUCUGACCACCACUCAUAGGCAGGGAUACCAAGUCGUGGGAUUGCUGGUGCGGCAUUGACUAGCUGUGGGAUCUUCUCGUCAAGUGUGAGACGUGAGACGAGGUCAUUGACGCGUGUGGAGAUAGGUAGCGUGAGGUUGCAAAAUGGGUAUGAUUUGGUAGCCGGGUUGGAUGAGUCGCAGGCGAAUGGUGGCUGAGCUGACUCAGUGAAUAUGAUAAUUGUUAGGUUGAGACAUAAGAUUAGUUGUAUACUACAAUAAAGUCUCAUUGUGCCUUUUGAAGCACAACCAAUUGAUGCCAGAGAGAUGUAGAUAUAUAGAAUGGAAGGUAAGGUUUGGAGUAAAAGAGAAAAAAGAUAGGGACCAAUAACCUUACUAGUAUUAUGAUAGUGAACUAUAAGCUACAAUAAGUAAGAACUACUCUAAAAACAUAUUCAAGUUGGAACAACCAUAUUUUUGUUUAGCUUUUAAAAAUUCUAAAUAACUAAUAAAAUAAACUAGCAGUUUACCCGUCCGUUGGGACAGGUUUUUAAGAUUAAGAACAUCAAUGACUAUAUGUAUAUUUAAAAUAAUGAUGACUUUUUAUUCAAUUGCGAUUAGUAACUACAACAGUUCUUAAAUUGUCAUACAUACUACCUUAAAAUCUAAUAUCUAAUUUGCACAAUUUAAAAUGUUUAAUUAAUUAUUUGUAAAUUGAUUAAUGUAGGAAUUGCUAACACCAUUAAAUGAAGAUAAAAGAGGUCUUUCCAUAUUACAUGUCUAUGAAAGUAGUAAAAAUAAUAAAAACUAUCAAUGACAAGCAAACAUGGAUUAUAUUUAUUGGCGUAAAAAAAUUUACACAAUAUUUAAAUUGUAUAAAUCAUAAAAAUUGUUAUGUUUACCCUGCUAAGUUAAUACGAUCAACACUAACAAACAUAUUCUAAGCAUAUUAAAGUACCACAUUAGUUACUAAACAUUGAAUAUUUAUAUAAGAAAAUACACCAAAACAAAAAACAACCACAAACAUAAGAGUAUGUAUAUUACACAAAGGUAACAAUAAAACAACUAAGUACAAAAUGAUAACUAAACAUGUGGUGAAACUAUAGUUUCGAUAUAGGUUGCAUCUAUGAUGCCUUGCGUAAAGAUGAUAGGAAAAAAAAUCAUGUAUAUUCUUUGUCCUUACCUUUAUCUCAGCAACCUCACCCCAUUCGUGUACUAUAAUUAACUUGUUAUUUCCAUCAAUAUAGUGCACAGAUGACCCAACCAUCAAUGACAUAAACACACAGGGUACAAAAGACAUCACUUUCGACCAAGUUGCGUUUUGCAGACUCCACAAUUGAACAUCUACACUACACAUUCCAAUAAUAACAAACAUAUAAAGUUCAUAUCGUAUACUCACCAACUGACCUAUAGCUUCCACACUCAGAUCUGGAAAUUCUACAUUUUUAAUUACCUUUGAAUCAAUAGCUUCUACACUCAGUGUAGUGUAUCUGGAACUCCUACAUUUUUAAUUACCUUGGAAUCAACAUGCAAACGAAGUACCGUUAUGUUACCAAUACACUAGAAUUUGGUCAAUACAAAAUACAAACUAUUUGAACAAAACGUCUCAAAGGAGUUGGUGGGGGUGGUUAUUUAUUUAUUUAUAAUGAGAGAAGAGUUAUAUUUUCCAUUAAUACAACAAUUGAUCUUAUUAUUAGUUUUGUAGGAGAACAUGGUCGAAAGGUAAAAAAAAAUAGUUUAACCUGAAUAAUAAACCGCUAAUACAUUGUAUGUUAUAAAAAAUACAAAUUAAAAAUAUAUCUUGUCAUAUAAUAACACAAUCUUUACACAAAAACACAAUGCUACAGUAGAGCACAAUGUUACAUAUAUAACACAAAAAAAAAAAAAAAAAAAAAAAAAAAAAAAACAACUGUUGAGUACUUAGGAUUUGAUAUUACCACAAAAUUAACACAAAAAAAUAAUUUACAUCGGAGUUAAGGUGUUGCUCCCUUGCGGUCAAGGGUUCGAGACAUGUCGAAGACGGAUUCGAUGUAAUUUAAACCGCUAAAAAACAUAUUACAUGUUUAU